Molecule: ribosomal RNA, 565 nt
Filed under: uncultured bacterium
Lineage: Bacteria
Description: bacterial SSU rRNA
Rfam family: Bacterial small subunit ribosomal RNA
Source: RNAcentral
UGAUCAUGGCUCAGAACGUACGCUGGCGGCACGCCUAACACAUGCAAGUCGAACGAAGUAGCAAUACUUAGUGGCAGACGGGUGAGUAACAUGUAGGUAUCUGCCCUUUGGCCUGGAAUAACACGAGGAAACUUGUGCUAAUACCGGAUAAGUCUUUACGGAGAAAGCUUUAUGCACCAUUGGAUGAGCCUGCACUUGAUUAGUUUGUUGGUGGGGUAAUGGCCUACCAAGACUGUGAUCAAUAGCUGAUUUGAGAGGAUGAUCAGCCACAUUGGGACUGAGACACGGCCCAAACUCCUACGGGAGGCAGCAGUGGGGAAUCUUGCACAAUGGAGGAAACUCUGAUGCAGCGAUGCCGCGUGAGUGAAGAAGGCCCUUGGGUUGUAAAGCUCUUUCGUCGGGGAAGAAAAUGACUGUACCCGAAUAAGAAGGUCCGGCUAACUUCGUGCCAGCAGCCGCGGUAAUACGAAGGGACCUAGCGUAGUUCGGAAUUACUGGGCUUAAAGAGUUCGUAGGUGGUUGAAAAAGUUAGUGGUGAAAUCCCAGAGCUUAACUCUGGAACUGC